UACGUAGGGUGCGAGCGUUAAUCGGAAUUACUGGGCGUAAAGCGUGCGCAGGCGGUUUUGUAAGUCAGAUGUGAAAGCCCCGGGCUCAACCUGGGAAUUGCAUUUGAGACUGCAUAGCUAGGGUGCGGAAGAGGGAAGCGGAAUUUCCGGUGUAGCGGUGAAAUGCGUAGAUAUCAGGAGGAACACCUGCGGUGUAGACGGCUUACUGGACGGUAACUGACGCUGAGGCACGAAAGCGUGGGUAGCAAACAGG
This 253-nucleotide ribosomal RNA is filed under the name uncultured bacterium. RNAcentral's name for it is "partial 16S ribosomal RNA". It matches the Rfam family "Bacterial small subunit ribosomal RNA", at positions 524 to 776 of the family's 1533-position model. The record is from RNAcentral.